RNAcentral lists this ribosomal RNA (429 nucleotides) under Enterococcus casseliflavus. RNAcentral's name for it is "bacterial SSU rRNA". It matches the Rfam family "Bacterial small subunit ribosomal RNA", at positions 28 to 435 of the family's 1533-position model. Lineage: Bacteria; Bacillati; Bacillota; Bacilli; Lactobacillales; Enterococcaceae. The record is from RNAcentral.
GACGAACGCUGGCGGCGUGCCUAAUACAUGCAAGUCGAACGCUUUUUCUUUCACCGGAGCUUGCUCCACCGAAAGAAAAAGAGUGGCGAACGGGUGAGUAACACGUGGGUAACCUGCCCAUCAGAAGGGGAUAACACUUGGAAACAGGUGCUAAUACCGUAUAACACUAUUUUCCGCAUGGAAGAAAGUUGAAAGGCGCUUUUGCGUCACUGAUGGAUGGACCCGCGGUGCAUUAGCUAGUUGGUGAGGUAACGGCUCACCAAGGCAACGAUGCAUAGCCGACCUGAGAGGGUGAUCGGCCACACUGGGACUGAGACACGGCCCAGACUCCUACGGGAGGCAGCAGUAGGGAAUCUUCGGCAAUGGACGAAAGUCUGACCGAGCAACGCCGCGUGAGUGAAGAAAGGUUUUCGGAUCGUAAAAACUCUG